AGGUAUGUUUUACUAAUGCUAAUAUUAGGCCUAGAAUUAUUGAUCCGUGGUGGAAUUGGAUCACAAAUUCUGGAAUUGUUGGCAUCGGGAUCUGCUAAAGGAAAUGCAAUUGACGAACAUUUAUUCAACGGAAUUGGAUAGGAGGUGGAUCUUCAGCAUAACUGGAUUCUAACAUGCAGAACAAUUUAACUGAAAAAAUUGUCGUGGUUUGAGAUUUGUCUUGAAAUUCAUUCAUUGGAAGCUGAAAGCUGAUUAGGAAAUGAAUGUAGGAUGUCCGCUACGUCUGAGUCAAACAUGUUAUGCCAUGAAUACGAGCAUAAGCGAAUAAGGUGAAAGCGAAUAUCACGAAUCAAGAGUUUGUUGAAGUUCUGUCCGAAUUACGGAACAAGCUGGUUGAAGCGACAACGAAUCUCACAAAUCAUCUGUCUGUCUGUAGGUGUUUUUAUUAUCGUGCGUAUAAGGCAAUGGAAUCCGCUAUUAUACUGACGAUGUCUUCUACGAUGUGAUCGUUUCUUUUGAUCAGCUCUUGUGUAUCUGUAUAAUUACUGCAAAUUUGCCAUUGUUGGGCGAAGUACUAAAACCAAUUUAUCAUCAUCAGCCGAUUCAAUAUAUAUUAUACUUGCACAGACGGAAAUAUAGUUACUGUUGCCAUAUGCAGCUCCGAAUACACAAGCUAGCAGAUGAAUUUUAUAACUACUCGAGUCGCCUGGUCUGGAGUCUGAAAUCGUUAUUUCUGAUGUUAUUGGACACGAAAUAGACAAAUGUAUCGUCUUGUUAUUAGGUUGUUGCUGUUGGUGUGAAAAUAUCGCCUAUUUCUACUAACUACUGGACCAAUUGCCUGGAAAUUUUCAGUGUUUAAAUUAAAUUAAUUUAAAAAACUGGAAGGCAAUUACUAUAUUCAUUUCACAUUUUUGUACUGUGUGUGAUUCAUUUGUGAAAUGCCGUUGAAGUCAUCAAAAUUAGACGCCUUCACGUCCCCAAAAUUGAAGUUGCGCACAUUGUGGGGGGUUUCGCUUGAGCGUUAACAAUCUAGUGCAUGGUCAAACAGUACCGGUAGUCUACUGUGAUAGAUUGCAUGCCCUUACUUCUUUGAGCUGGCUUUCGUGUCCCUAUAUUUGAGCAUGUUGUAUGAGGUAAACUAGUUUUAUAUGUAUUUUUAACUUUGGAAUAAUCAAUCUACU
This is a long non-coding RNA of Styela clava, 1181 nucleotides long. RefSeq lists it as uncharacterized. The record is from RefSeq and is a predicted model, not a curated record. NCBI's taxonomy places the organism in Eukaryota, Metazoa, Chordata, Ascidiacea, Stolidobranchia, Styelidae.